Molecule: small nucleolar RNA, 132 nt
Organism: Suncus etruscus (white-toothed pygmy shrew)
Lineage: Eukaryota; Metazoa; Chordata; Mammalia; Eulipotyphla; Soricidae
Source: RefSeq, a predicted model, not a curated record
GUCCAAACUCGAUUGCUAACCUACAUGUGUUGCAGAAGAGAAACUACCGGCAGGUUUGCUAAAGUAACUGUAGUGAUAAAAAUGAAUUAACUUCAGAUUGUAUUGAGGUUGCCUACUCUACUGAGUUCAACA